GGCCCCUCACGGCCCCAGAGCCCCGGAACCGCACGGCUCUCCACUCCCCCCGCUGCCACCGCGCUGCAUCACGCUGUUACCAAAUCCUCCGAGAUCAUCCGGGAUGAAUGAAGCCCUCUCACUGCCGUCUUUUGAGGGCCGUCUCUCCUUUACCUUCUGCUUUCUACAAAAUGUCCUUGUGGUCCAUAAAUUCUGCGUUCCAGAUGUCCAACCACACCAAUCCGUCUUCUUCUCCCAGGCUUUGUUCAUUGGAGCACAGCAGAGUUAGUUUAUCAAAAGUUAAAAUUUCAGUCAUUCUCCCCAGCUGCUUUCCCACAAAAGUAGCUUAUGACAACUUUGCUAAAGGCUGGCUAAGAUUAAUCUAAGAGUAGCACAUGAUAAUUAAUAUGUAUAUUAGUUAUGAUAAAUUAAAACAAUUAAUUUGAAAGUUAAUUAAAACCAUUAACUAAAAUCAUAGAGCUCUAUCAUUUCUGACACUGCAGUGGGGCAUUGCUUGAGGCACCCUCUCCUCCCUGGCUCCUGACCCCUUCAAAGCCCCCAGGACCGGUGCUGAGCUUUCCUCAUCUCUGCCUCUGUCCCAAAAUGUGGAAUGCACCAAAAGUCCCUUAGAUAGGAUGUUCUGUGAUGCUUGAUCUUUGUAUACUUUCAAGCCUAAUCAGCUAGAAAGGAGAUAUAGCCCCAGAAACAGAGAGCAGCCAACAAGCUGUAGGUGAUAUCCAGGUGUUAGAAAAACAAAUUAUGUGCUAAGAUGUAGGGCUGGACGCGUUUCCAUGAUGUCAGACCUAGGGGAGGUGAGCAGAGCUUGGGAAGAACGAUGUGCCUCUGAUAGUGAACACGAGGAAUGCAGGAUUUACAGGCCACAAGGACAUUUGGCAGAACCCCCAAGAUAAGGAAGAAACUAAUAAAAGUAACUGUGCAGAACAAGCUCCCACUGGGGAAAAAGGGAAUUCCAGGAAGGCAGAUCGUGACCUCCAGCCCCAAAACCCCACCGACCCAAAAGAAGAGGAACACCGAGCAUGGGAACGAGCAGCAGAAGCAAGAGAAUCAUUAACCAACAGAGGACAGAACACUAAUUAAUAAGAGAACUGUGUAACUUGUAGCCAGUGAACACCAAUGCCUUUGUUUGCAUCACACGCAGCCUCCCCUCAGCAGGACACGGCUCAGCCUGAAGAGAGCACCCGGGUGCUGCAAGCACUUGGAUUUUGUUAAGCCUCAGCUCCAGCCUGGAGAAGCACAUUUCAUAAUGCAUAAUAAAUAAACAUGAGCUGUGUCUGAACUGACAGUUUUUCAACACAAAAAAAACUGGGAGCACCUCCCCAACACCUUUGAAAGUGUGGGGAAAUCCAAACCAACCCAAUGUGUAUCUAAUAAAGAAUAUUUAUUUUCUAA
Molecule: long non-coding RNA, 1389 nt
Organism: Parus major (Great Tit)
Lineage: Eukaryota; Metazoa; Chordata; Aves; Passeriformes; Paridae
Exons: 2
Source: RefSeq, a predicted model, not a curated record